AUGGGAACGCGAAGAACCUUACCUAGACUUGACAUCUCCUGAAUUACUCUGUAAUGGAGGAAGCCCUUCGGGCGAGAAGACAGGUGGUGCAUGGUUGUCGUCAGCUCGUGUCGUGAGAUGUUGGGUUAAGUCCCGCAACGAGCGCAACCCUUACUUGUUAGUUGCUACCAUUAAGUUGAGCACUCUAGCGAGACUGCCCGGGUUAACCGGGAGGAAGGUGGGAUGACGUCAAAUCAUCAUGCCCCUUAUGUCUAGGGCUACACACGUGCUACAAUGGUGGGACAAAAGGAUAGCGAAACCGCAAGGUUGAGCCAAACUCAAAACCCCNUACCCAGUUCGGAUUGUAGCUGAAACUCGCCUACAUGAAGCCGGAGUUGCUAGUAAUCGCGAAUCAGAAUGUCGCGGUGAAUACGUUCCCGGGUCUUGUACACACCG
Molecule: ribosomal RNA, 435 nt
Filed under: uncultured bacterium
Lineage: Bacteria
Description: bacterial SSU rRNA
Rfam family: Bacterial small subunit ribosomal RNA
Source: RNAcentral